CCCAGCCCAGCCCGGUGUCUGCGGGGCUCUCGUCCCGCACGGCUGUGAGCUGAGUGGUGGCCUCAUCCUCCCAAGAGCCCGGUCGGGCCCAGGAACCCAGGGUCCCACUGUGGGGCCAUGCGAGACACCAACCUCGGGCAACCAGAGGCCCUGGUCGGAGCUCGGUGGUCCACGUGGUCCCUGGGCCUCCCGGCCUCCUCCAGAGCACCGAGCAUACAGAGGAGACAAAAGCCACAGGGCCUAAGGCGACCUCCACCAGCGGGGACCAAACCAGGCCGGAGCAGCGGGUUGGAAACCGAGGGGAGAAGGAACCGCAGAGCUCAGGAGUGUGGCCAUGCAGAAGCAGGCGCUCACAGUGCCCAGUGUGCAAGGACUGAGGUUCGCACAGCUUUGCCAGUGCUGUUGUUACUUUCAGUGCAACACACUUACCUGCCCGAGUGGUAGCACUUUACCCUGAAACAGUUUUGUGUGGGAGACUCCGCCUGGCCUGGCUUCGGUGAGAGUUCAGGGUGUUCCAGCAGAUGUUGAGGAGACAGAAUCGAAAUUCAGGCCUUUUGACGUCCGGAAGGUGCAGCUCAACCCUUGAGCCCCGUGCUCAGGAGCACCCCAAGCCAGCGCUGCGGUGGCCGCGGGAAGCAAGUGCGAUUGACGCGAGGACGUGGCGCCAUCUGGUGUCUGAGUUGGGGAUCGCAGGAGCGAGGUUUCCUUUCAAUUCCCGCUUUGGAGAGAAGGCGGCCGGCCAUGCCCCUGAACGCAUUAGGAAAAAGCCGUUUAAAAGCCCUCUGUCCGACCAGCCACACUCUCAGCCUGGAGCUUUGAGUCUCUAAGGUGCGGAGAAGGCGGAAGUUGUUGACAGUGACAUGGGAGAAACUGAGUGUCCGUGGUGCAGGCUGCAAGUGUCAGCGUGGUGACGGCACUGACCACAUCCACUGCAGCCUGUUCCCACCUGACCCGUGCUCCGCUUCUGCCUGGACAUUUUCUGUGCCUGUGUCCCUGGCCUUUCUGAUGGGCAGGGGGGCCCUGACAUCCUUCCAGCCAGUGUUGUUUUGCAGAGUUGCAUCUGAGACUCACGAAUGGCACAAAUGCAUCCUGCUCCAGGCGAGCUCAUUGUUUGGCUCUCUGAAGCCUUCUGCUCAGUGAUCUGGACUGAAAAAGAUGGCUCUCCCAGCUCUCCAGGCCCCAUAUCAGAUGUUCAAGUCCUUAAACCCUCUUCUCUCGCUGUCCACACGCAGUCACCAAGUCCUAUGGGCAAGGAUCUCCUGAAAACGUUUCCUGGUCUCCACAGCCUAAACUGCCAUCCUCUUUGCCUAGAAUCUUGUAGUUGCUCCCAAACCAGUGUCCUUGCUCCCUAAUCCCUCACUCAUGCAGAUCCAGAGCAAACUGUGCCACUCCUUUGCUUACAGCCUUACAGUGUUUGUGUUGCUCUGAAGGUUAAGUCCACAUCACCUUGCAGUCCCUAACCAAAUAGGCAGAGCAAUAGUGACCCGUGGGAAAACUACACGUGGCCUAAUCUCCUUGUACUUGGGCUCUCUGAGGAAGGGAGAGGACAGGAAAAUAUUUGGAGAGAUAACAGUGAACAAUUUUCAAAUUUGAUGAAAAGUAUGAACUCACAGAUCCAAGGUGCAUGAUGAAUCCCAGGAGACAUGAAGCAAUUGCACUAAGACACAUGAUCAAGUGGCUGAAAACAGGUGGCAAACAGAGAAUCCUGAAGUUCAACCAGAGAUGGAAACAUCUCAUUCUGAAGAUAUGGAGGACAGCAGAUUUCCUGCUGGAAACUAGGCAAACCAGAGGACAGUUGGGCAGCACACUUCAAACAGUGAAAGAAAACAUCCUCAACUCAUGAAAACCUCCAUAGAAAAUGAAGAAGAAUAAAGUGAACAGAAUUCGUCUCCAGCCAACUUGCACUAUAAGGAAUAUUAAGAGAAGUCCUUGAGGCAGAGGAAAAUGGGGCUGGGUGGAAAUUUAGAUCUGUGCAAAGAAAUAAGGAGCCCCCAAAAUGCUAAUUAUGUGGGUAAAAAUCCUUAUUUAAACUUCUGUAAAAUGUAAUUGUUUAAGUAAAGAAAGGAACAGCAUGUACUGUGGAGUUUAUAACAGGCAGAAGUCACGUGAUUGCCAACCACAGCAUAGGAGGCAGGAAGUGUGAGAGAGAAGGGCUCUGCUGCAAGGUUCUUAUGCUCUAUGUGAAGCCGCUCUAUGCGCUUGAGGAAGGGUGAGAGUUAAAGAUGCACCGUAUAAACCCAGAGCACCUGCUAAAACCACAGAACAAAAGCUAUGGCUAAUAGGUCAACAGAGGAGGGAUUCCAAUGGUGUGGGAGAAAGCUUUUUCGAAUGCUGGCUCCGAUCAUUAUAGGAUCAUGGUGAUCACUUCGGGGGCCUUCCAUUUGUCAAACCUCACUAACACCCUUCAUUUAUGCCAAUUAUAUUUCAGUCAAGCUGUUAAGAAAAGGUGUCUCUUCAUGGCAGGAUUAGGGAUCACUUUUAUUUUCUUCAUUAUCCAGGAUAAAAAUGAGAAGGAUAAUGUGAAUAAGC
Heterocephalus glaber (naked mole-rat) is the source of this 2529-nucleotide long non-coding RNA. NCBI's taxonomy places the organism in Eukaryota, Metazoa, Chordata, Mammalia, Rodentia, Bathyergidae. The record is from Ensembl.